RNAcentral lists this long non-coding RNA (1537 nucleotides) under Ananas comosus (pineapple). Its description in RNAcentral is "long non-coding RNA (ACOM_LNC033562)". Lineage: Eukaryota; Viridiplantae; Streptophyta; Magnoliopsida; Poales; Bromeliaceae. The record is from RNAcentral.
UGCAGUUCUACAGCGACGACCUCCAGUGUUUUGGCUCGUACGCGACGUAGGAAGGUCGGAUCAUGGUGAAACUUGAUUUUCUGGAUUCUAGACUUCCAGAGGAAUCCACGAAGCCCUGAAUUGCAGAUUUUGGUUGAGGUUAGCUUGGUCGAACUGAGAUUUUUCUGGACUGUUGUUGACAUUGAGCUGAAAAUAAGAUCUUUGAGCUUUUCUUGAUGCUAUCUUUGUAGACAGUGGGAUUUUGGACCUGAGACGCAUCACCCAUCAGUAUUUGCUGGAUUUGGGACUGUCCUCACCUGAUUUGGAGAUCGUUAGGUGAGUUUUGAUAUGGGAGUUGAGAUAAUUAAGCUUAAAUGCUGAAAUUUUUGGUGAAUUGAUGGUUUUUGUUGGAUUUUAGGUGUAGAUCCUUCGAGUAGCUUUGUUGCUGGUUGUGGGUGUUCUCGGUUGAGACUUUCAGCAAUUCGUGACCGUCUUGCUGCCAGGGAAUUGCACUAGAGGUGGGUUUAUCAUCGGUUUGGCUCCUAAGUAUAUGUAUAGUGAACAUGUAUAGUUUCGACUUCGGAAUAUCUGUUGUAGCUCGAAUUCAUCGAUGAGUAUGUUAUAUAAAUCUGAAUUUGGAGCAUGCUUAGAAAUUAGUUGAAUAUACAUGUUGGACUUGGAAUUUGACUUAAGAGAAAACCUGAGAUUUGAACCUAUCAUAUGAUUCUACUUCUGAUUUAGCUCUAGAAGCCGUGAUUUGAUCGUAUCACCGCUGUUUCAGCGCGGUGGAUAUCCGGGGUAGUUUAGAAUGCAUUUACGCUCGUGCUGGGAUGCCGAGCUUAUUUUUACAGCAGUGUCUAGGCUGUUUCGGAUUGUCGUGUGCCGUCGGGGUGGACGGUGGACCCAGAUUCCUGUUUUUGGUAUCAGAUUAUGCCGAGGGCACUUGGGUUCGAUUUCUAGACCUGUUUUGACCCUAGCUACUUGUCUUUGUCUUUUUAGAGCCUGAUUGAGCUCGACAGAGAUACGUUGCAUACUCGGUUGGGUAGCUCCCACAAGUGCCACUCCAGAGACGGGCAUUGUGCUUUCACGUUGGUGUCGUUCAUGCUGGUUAGAUUUACUCUCCACGGACUGGAUAGUGUGGAGGUAGCUGGAUAGUCUCAACUGGGUGGGACGGGUGUGUUCACAGUCCCUGGGACGGGUAUGUUUACAGUCCCUAAAGAGAUUGGGUCAUGAUUGACAUUUCUACAGUAGGUUAGUUUAAAGCAUGAUAGUGUAAUAAAUAGUAGCUGUAGAUUUCAUUCCAGCAUUUAUUACUACCUUUGCUCCCUUUUGUAGACUUAGUGGGUGGACCGAUGUUGUUGAAGGCGGCACCCACUGAGGACUACUUGUUUUACAGUAGUUCUCACGUCCUGUUGUUACUCCGUUUUUGUAGAGCCAUCGUUUUCGGCUGCUGCUGUUGUUGAUCAGGAUCGAGGCAAGGGCGUCGCGAGUUAGAGCCCUACCCGACGAGCCGAGCUAGAGGUGCCCCUACACCAGGUAGUUGUUUUUGUUGGAGCUC